This 301-nucleotide ribosomal RNA is filed under the name uncultured bacterium. RNAcentral's name for it is "partial 16S ribosomal RNA". It matches the Rfam family "Bacterial small subunit ribosomal RNA", at positions 509 to 807 of the family's 1533-position model. The record is from RNAcentral.
CAGUAGCCGCGGUAAAACGUAGGUCCCGAGCGUUGUCCGGAAUUACUGGGCGUAAAGCGUGCGCAGGCGGUGAUGUAAGACAGUUGUGAAAUCCCCGGGCUCAACCCGGGAACUGCAUCUGUGACUGCAUCGCUGGAGUGCGGCAGAGGGGGAUGGAAUUCCGCGUAUAGCGGUGAAAUGCGUAGAGAUGUGGAGGAAUACCAGUAGCGAAGGCGACUCUCUGGUCUGUAACUGACGCUGAGGUGCGAAAGCGUGGGGAGCAAACAGGAUUAGAUACCCCCGUAGUCCCUGUCUCUUAUAC